CAAACCANUAUCGGCAACGGAUAUCUCGGCUCUCGCAUCGAUGAAGAACGUUGCCAAAUGCGAUACUUGGUGUGAAUUGCAGAAUCCCGUGAACCAUCGAGUCUUUGAACGCAAGUUGCGCCCGAAGCCACUAGGCCGAGGGCACGUCUGCCUGGGCGUCACGC
Molecule: ribosomal RNA, 164 nt
Filed under: Nardostachys jatamansi
Lineage: Eukaryota; Viridiplantae; Streptophyta; Magnoliopsida; Dipsacales; Caprifoliaceae
Description: 5.8S ribosomal RNA
Rfam family: 5.8S ribosomal RNA
About the family: 5.8S ribosomal RNA (5.8S rRNA) is a component of the large subunit of the eukaryotic ribosome. It is transcribed by RNA polymerase I as part of the 45S precursor that also contains 18S and 28S rRNA.
Source: RNAcentral